UGUUUCGGCUAGGGGGCCAUCCCGGCUUACCAACCCGAUGCAAACUGCGAAUACCGGAGAAUGUUAUCACGGGAGACACACGGCGGGUGCUAACGUCCGUCGUGAAGAGGGAAACAACCCAGACCGCCAGCUAAGGUCCCAAAGUCAUGGUUAAGUGGGAAACGAUGUGGGAAGGCCCAGACAGCCAGGAUGUUGGCUUAGAAGCAGCCAUCAUUUAAAGAAAGCGUAAUAGCUCACUGGUCGAGUCGGCCUGCGCGGAAGAUGUAACGGGGCUAAACCAUGCACCGAAGCUGCGGCAGCGACACUAUGUGU
RNAcentral lists this ribosomal RNA (312 nucleotides) under Salmonella enterica. RNAcentral describes it as "partial 23S ribosomal RNA". It matches the Rfam family "Bacterial large subunit ribosomal RNA", at positions 911 to 1221 of the family's 2925-position model. The record is from RNAcentral. RNAcentral also lists the same sequence under 3 other names. Lineage: Bacteria; Pseudomonadati; Pseudomonadota; Gammaproteobacteria; Enterobacterales; Enterobacteriaceae.